GAAGUUGUGUGCAUCCAGGUAGAGGUAGUAGGUUGUAUGGUUUAGAGUUAUACCCUGGGAGUUAACCGUACAACCUUCUAGCUUUCCUUGGAGCACACUUGAACCAUC
MicroRNA precursor from Vombatus ursinus (common wombat), 108 nucleotides. Ensembl annotates it as microRNA let-7c. Its record names the gene MIRLET7C. The record is from Ensembl. Lineage: Eukaryota; Metazoa; Chordata; Mammalia; Diprotodontia; Vombatidae.